This 1089-nucleotide ribosomal RNA is filed under the name Mycobacteroides abscessus subsp. abscessus. Its description in RNAcentral is "partial 23S ribosomal RNA". It matches the Rfam family "Bacterial large subunit ribosomal RNA", at positions 1699 to 2770 of the family's 2925-position model. Lineage: Bacteria; Bacillati; Actinomycetota; Actinomycetes; Mycobacteriales; Mycobacteriaceae. The record is from RNAcentral.
CUAUGGUUAAGGAACUCGGCAAAAUACCCCCGUAACUUCGGGAGAAGGGGGACCUCGCUUGGUGACCGGACUUGCUCCGUGAGCUGAACGAGGUCGCAGAGACCAGUGAGAAGCGACUGUUUACUAAAAACACAGGUCCGUGCGAAGUCGCAAGACGAUGUAUACGGACUGACGCCUGCCCGGUGCUGGAAGGUUAAGAGGACCCGUUAACCCUUGGGUGAAGCGGAGAAUUUAAGCCCCAGUAAACGGCGGUGGUAACUAUAACCAUCCUAAGGUAGCGAAAUUCCUUGUCGGGUAAGUUCCGACCUGCACGAAUGGCGUAACGACUUCUCAACUGUCUCAACCAUAGACUCGGCGAAAUUGCACUACGAGUAAAGAUGCUCGUUACGCGCGGCAGGACGAAAAGACCCCGGGACCUUCACUAUAGCUUGGUAUUGGCGUUUGGUUCGGUUUGUGUAGGAUAGGUGGGAGACUGCGAAGCAGGCACGCCAGUGUUUGUGGAGUCAUCGUUGAAAUACCACUCUGAUCGUAUUGAACCUCUAACCUCGGACCGUAUAUCCGGUCCAGGGACAGUGCCUGGUGGGUAGUUUAACUGGGGCGGUUGCCUCCCAAAAUGUAACGGAGGCGCCCAAAGGUUCCCUCAACCUGGACGGCAAUCAGGUGUUGAGUGCAAGUGCACAAGGGAGCUUGACUGCGAGACCUACAAGUCAAGCAGGGACGAAAGUCGGGACUAGUGAUCCGGCACCUCUGAGUGGAAGGGGUGUCGCUCAACGGAUAAAAGGUACCCCGGGGAUAACAGGCUGAUCUUCCCCAAGAGUCCAUAUCGACGGGAUGGUUUGGCACCUCGAUGUCGGCUCGUCGCAUCCUGGGGCUGGAGCAGGUCCCAAGGGUUGGGCUGUUCGCCCAUUAAAGCGGCACGCGAGCUGGGUUUAGAACGUCGUGAGACAGUUCGGUCUCUAUCCGCCGCGCGCGUCAGAAACUUGAGGAAACCUGUCCCUAGUACGAGAGGACCGGGACGGACGAACCUCUGGUGUACCAGUUGUUCCACCAGGAGCACGGCUGGAUAGCUACGUUCGGACAGGAUAACCG